UAGCUCAGCGGGUAAGAGCUUUUGUUUUGAGAGCAAGAGGGCUUGAGUUCAAAUCUCUA
This 59-nucleotide transfer RNA is filed under the name Rattus norvegicus (Norway rat). It matches the Rfam family "tRNA", at positions 8 to 63 of the family's 71-position model. Rfam says of the family: Transfer RNA (tRNA) molecules are approximately 80 nucleotides in length. Their secondary structure includes four short double-helical elements and three loops (D, anti-codon, and T loops). Lineage: Eukaryota; Metazoa; Chordata; Mammalia; Rodentia; Muridae. The record is from Rfam by way of RNAcentral.